RNAcentral lists this ribosomal RNA (484 nucleotides) under uncultured bacterium. RNAcentral's name for it is "partial 16S ribosomal RNA". It matches the Rfam family "Bacterial small subunit ribosomal RNA", at positions 29 to 523 of the family's 1533-position model. The record is from RNAcentral.
AGUGAACGCUGGCGGCGUGCUUAACACAUGCAAGUCGAACGAGAACGGAUUAUGGAUUGCUAUAAUUGUCAGCUAAGUGGCGCACGGGUGAGUAAUGUAUAGGUAAUAUGCCUCUUACUAAGGGAUAACAAUUGGAAACGAUUGCUAAUACCUUAUAUUCCUUUUUAUCAAAAGAUAAAAAGGGAAAGAUUUAUUGGCAAGAGAUUAGGCUGUAUUGUAUCAGUUAGUUGGUGGGGUAAUGGCCUACCAAGACAAUGACGCAUAACUGGUUUGAGAGGAUGAUCAGUCACACUGGAACUGAGACACGGUCCAGACGCCUACGGGAGGCAGCAGUGGGGAAUAUUGCACAAUGGACGAAAGUCUGAUGCAGCAACGCCGUGUGGAGGAUGACACAUUUCGGUGCGUAAACUCCUUUUAUAUAAGAAGAUAAUGACGGUAUUAUAUGAAUAAGCACCGGCUAACUCCGUGCCAGCCGCCGCAGUAA